CCUCCUUUCUAAGGAAAAAAUAAAAUUAUCAUCUUCAGUUUUGAAAGACUUAGAAAAUUCGUAAGUUUUUCUUUUUUUAAGGCAUUA
RNAcentral lists this ribosomal RNA (87 nucleotides) under Sugarcane yellows phytoplasma type I. RNAcentral's name for it is "partial 16S ribosomal RNA". Lineage: Bacteria; Bacillati; Mycoplasmatota; Mollicutes; Acholeplasmatales; Acholeplasmataceae. The record is from RNAcentral.